This 292-nucleotide ribosomal RNA is filed under the name uncultured Verrucomicrobiota bacterium. RNAcentral's name for it is "uncultured Verrucomicrobia bacterium partial 16S ribosomal RNA". Lineage: Bacteria; Pseudomonadati; Verrucomicrobiota. The record is from RNAcentral.
GGACUACCCGGGUUUCUAAUCCCGUUUGCUCCCCUGGCUUUCGUGCCUCAGCGUCAGGAAUUGUCCAGAGACUCGCCUUCGCCACUGGUGUUCCACUUGAUAUCUACGCAUUUCACUGCUACACCAAGUAUUCCAGUCUCCCUUCCAAUCCUCUAGCUGGAUAGUUUCCAACGCAGUUUCCGGGUUAGGCCCGGAGAUUUCACGUCAGACUUACCCAACCGCCUACGCACCCUUUACGCCCAGUAAAUCCGAACAACGCUUGGGACCUCUGUAUUACCGCGGCUGCUGGCAC